Molecule: non-coding RNA, 245 nt
Filed under: Bacillus sp. (in: firmicutes)
Lineage: Bacteria; Bacillati; Bacillota; Bacilli; Caryophanales; Bacillaceae
Description: Bacillus sp. T-box sequence
Rfam family: T-box leader
About the family: Uncharged tRNA acts as the effector for transcription antitermination of genes in the T-box leader family. T-boxes are found upstream of many aminoacyl-tRNA synthetase genes and some amino acid biosynthetic genes usually in Gram-positive bacteria.
Source: RNAcentral
GCGUUGGCGUUGAAGAAGAGGAGUAGCUGAAACGGAAAUGUCAGAGAGCUGGUGGGUGGUGCGAACCAGUAUGGACGUUGCAGUGAAUGGACUUCUGAGCCCCAGACCGAACCCCUUGCGGAAAGUAGGCUCUGGCGAAUGGGCCUCAUCGUUACAAGAGGCAGGCAUUAAAGCAUGUGCUUUGAUGCUCAAAGCGGGCCGGUUUCGGCCAAUCAAGGUGGCACCACGGGUUUCUCGUCCUUAUC